Oryzias latipes (Japanese medaka) is the source of this 256-nucleotide long non-coding RNA. RefSeq lists it as uncharacterized. The record is from RefSeq and is a predicted model, not a curated record. NCBI's taxonomy places the organism in Eukaryota, Metazoa, Chordata, Actinopteri, Beloniformes, Adrianichthyidae.
UUGGCGGAGAGGUCUUCCGAACGGGAUCAGUCUCAGCCCGAAUUGCUGAAGCGUGACAUCCUUCAAAGGCUGCAUCAUCGACUGUCAGUCAACCUGUUGCUGUGGAAGGCCUGCACAUUCAGAAACAGACUGCUGUCCCAGCGCUGCUCCACAGAAAAACUGAAGCAAUCUUUUGUUCCUUGUGCCAUCAGGCAAUACAACUCUCUGGCAGGGCAUCUUACAAGGUGAGAGGAGAUCCCGGAGGAGAAAAUGUGGG